AAAUGGAGUGGGGCAUAUCAAGAGGGGGCUGGACUAACCCUAGGGGAGGAGGUGGAACAGGUCAAUGCCUUCCUCUCUCGGAUAGCAGUGACCACAAAACACAUGUCAAAAGCAGGACGUACAGACAUGCUGACGCUGAUGGCCAUGCGCUGGAAUCAGCAAAAAGUCAGCAACUUGGCCACCUCACUGUCCCGCAGAUAUCUGAAGACCACAAAAGCUCUG
Trematomus bernacchii (emerald rockcod) is the source of this 222-nucleotide long non-coding RNA. RefSeq lists it as uncharacterized. The record is from RefSeq and is a predicted model, not a curated record. NCBI's taxonomy places the organism in Eukaryota, Metazoa, Chordata, Actinopteri, Perciformes, Nototheniidae. The transcript is spliced from 3 exons.